Prunus avium (sweet cherry) is the source of this 1127-nucleotide long non-coding RNA. RefSeq lists it as uncharacterized. The record is from RefSeq and is a predicted model, not a curated record. NCBI's taxonomy places the organism in Eukaryota, Viridiplantae, Streptophyta, Magnoliopsida, Rosales, Rosaceae.
AAAGACUUUGGAGGCACUUGGAGUUAGGUAGGGAACAAGUACAUGUGAAGCCAUCUUGAAAAAACGCAUGAAAAAAUGAAACAGCAACACUGGCGACCGGUCGUUGAAGACUCUGCCUGGCGACCGGUCGCCUGCCUCGUUUCUCCAGGCUUCGAUUCUACUUCAAAACGACCAGUCGCUUUUCCCUUGCGACCGGUCGCCUCCUCCUUCACUUGUGCAUUAAUUUUGAGCCAAUUUUACAACAAUUACCACCGGUUUUCUUUUCAGAACCACGGUUGUCUUCCUCAAUCCUUAGCCUCACGAUUAGAUCUUCAAGUUCCAUCUCUUUGCGCUUAUUCUUGAGAUAAUUCUUGAAAUCUUUCCAGGAUGGACCAAAGAUGUUGCCAAGCAGCUCAAAGAACAACAAAUGGUGAUGCCUGGUCACCGUGAAUCAAACUUGCAGAAGGAGUUGAACCGAUACAUUCCCGCACAGCUGCCGCUUUUGGAGGCAUGUGCAUUGGUGCACUGACAGUGUUGGCCGAUUUCAUGGGGGCGAUUGGUUCAGGACCAGGAAUUCUGCUUGCAGUCACAAUCAUCUAUCAGUACUUCGAGACAUUUGAGAAAGAGAGAGCCAGUGACAAUUUGUUGCCACAAUGGUUGGUCUCCCUGACAAUUUUGGUGUGCUGAGAGAUGUAAGUAGGUUUUAACAGCGAAGUUCAAGAUAUUAGGCUAGUCUCUUAUCACUCCUUUGAAGAAAAUACAAAAGCAAUAAAACCUCAAAACAUAGUGUUAAUGGUUUCUUUUCUUUUUUGCAUUUCCGCCACUACCAUGUUUUUCAUUGUCAAGUAUCGUUGGAUCUAUGUAACACUAUCAGGUCCUAUGGUAAGGAUCUUUAUAAUUAACUUGUCUGAAAUGUUUAAGGACACAUUGGAGAAGGAACUGACUGAAUUUUACUCAUGCUCAAGACGGUGUUAGAAAUUCCCUUGUUAUUGUGCAAGUUUUUUCUGUUACACAAUUGACUUUGCCUUUUUCCUUUAACCUAUUAUCAUUGUUCACAAGAUUGCCUGCUUGGCUAUGCAAUUCUAAUAUUUUAUGUCAAAAAAGUCUGUCGUCCCCAUCUAAAUUAAAUUGUGUUAUUCUUCCUUCAA